GGAGCAGCUUCUGGAGAGACCGCAGGAAAUAUGCGGCGCCGAAGGGUUCACAAUCUCAGGCAAAAGGACAGAAGAGUACGA
RNAcentral lists this non-coding RNA (81 nucleotides) under Bacillus sp. (in: firmicutes). RNAcentral describes it as "Bacillus sp. Glycine sequence". It matches the Rfam family "Glycine riboswitch aptamer". Rfam says of the family: This family represents the bacterial glycine riboswitch. Glycine riboswitches usually consist of two metabolite-binding aptamers domains with similar structures in tandem. The aptamers cooperatively bind glycine to regulate the expression of downstream genes. The record is from RNAcentral. Lineage: Bacteria; Bacillati; Bacillota; Bacilli; Caryophanales; Bacillaceae.